GGGCGAGUAGCUCAAUGGUAGAGCAGCGGCCUUUUAAGCCGUUGGUUGAGGGUUCGAAUCCCUCCUCGCUCA
RNAcentral lists this transfer RNA (72 nucleotides) under Chloroflexi bacterium GWB2_49_20. RNAcentral describes it as "tRNA-Lys". It matches the Rfam family "tRNA". Rfam says of the family: Transfer RNA (tRNA) molecules are approximately 80 nucleotides in length. Their secondary structure includes four short double-helical elements and three loops (D, anti-codon, and T loops). Further hydrogen bonds mediate the characteristic L-shaped molecular structure. tRNAs have two regions of fundamental functional importance: the anti-codon, which is responsible for specific mRNA codon recognition, and the 3' end, to which the tRNAs corresponding amino acid is attached (by aminoacyl-tRNA synthetases). tRNAs cope with the degeneracy of the genetic code in two manners: having more than one tRNA (with a specific anti-codon) for a particular amino acid; and 'wobble' base-pairing, i.e. permitting non-standard base-pairing at the 3rd anti-codon position. Lineage: Bacteria; Bacillati; Chloroflexota. The record is from RNAcentral. RNAcentral also lists the same sequence under 3 other names.